GGGGUGUUUCAUCAACUAAAAUCGAUUUCGAUUUUAAAAAUCAAUUUUAAGGCCGAAUCAGUUUUAGCUUAAAACCGAUACAUGUGAGCUGUUUCAUCAAAUCGAUUUUAAGCUAAAAUAGAUUUUUAGGUGUCUGCAAUCAAGGCUAGUCAAUUUGGGGUAAAUCGAUCACAAAAUGGCCUUGCUUAACUACAGUGAGAGUCCUUGAAAAAGUCGGACUAAAAGAUGGAGUGGACCACAAGUCGUAUCCACCAAAUAGACCUUGGCUUUAGUCCAAGACUCAAAAGUUUUCUUCUGCCGUGUCUCUACAGUCUUGGACUUCUCAUUCUUCCUUGGCCUCAGGCUCAAGGAAAGGGUUUGGAUAUGCAGAAUGUACUCAAGCUCAAUGUCUAGGUGUACAGCUAUAGAUCGUACUGUGCUAAGCGGCCUUGUGGAGUGAUCUUCUUACUAGUAAAAUUUGCACACCAAUAAUAAAACAAAGGUUGCAAAAUAAAGAGCUAUGGCAUCUGCAUGUACUGCUAGUUCAUGACAAAUGAACAUUUAUUGUCCAUCUCUUCAAAUUGAAAAGACUGCAGAGCCUGAAUUACCUGCAACGUUAUGCCUCUUAUGAAACAUCAGCCAGCCUACAGAUAGAAGCUCCCUUUUCCAGCUUUAAGCAAGAGGAACCACAAUGAGAUACAGAUCUUGGUAUCAUGGACUGGUCACUUUUUACAACCAACACUACUUGUAAAUUAAGAUUUACAAAUUAAUUCCUAUAAGCUAUCAAAAAUGCUCUAGUCAAGGUACUAAAAUUUUGCCAUCGAGUUUGAGGUUUUGGGUUUGAUAAAAUGUUAACAUAAAAUAUUUCAAAGGAAGUAAACGUUUUAAUGAUACUUCCAAGAUUUCCUACAUUUUAAACUGAAUUUUAGAAUUUUGCAGAAGAAAAGAGAAGAAAUAAAAAGCUAUUAUUCUGUCGUGGAGGUUAUUGUUACCAAACUCCAUUACAUAGAUAAUUUUGUUCAUGGCAAUAAAUCUUAAAAUAUCAAAUUGGAAUUUCUUAAUUAGCAAUUCAUCUGAGCAGCAGUUUGAUGACCUAUUUGGAACUCUUCCUAGAGGCACUUCUUGCAUGACUAUGUAUCGAUAAUUACCUGU
Molecule: long non-coding RNA, 1131 nt
Filed under: Strongylocentrotus purpuratus (purple sea urchin)
Lineage: Eukaryota; Metazoa; Echinodermata; Echinoidea; Camarodonta; Strongylocentrotidae
Description: uncharacterized LOC115921046
Source: RNAcentral